GAAGGAGAAAUUCACAUCAUUUUUAAUCAUGAUCUUCUCAUCAGCUCUAUUACUGCUGGCAGCAGCUGCAUCAUGUGGUGUUUUCUGUGUUGAGCUCACUCAACCUUCAUCUAUGGUUGUGAAA
Carassius auratus (goldfish) is the source of this 124-nucleotide long non-coding RNA. RefSeq lists it as uncharacterized. NCBI's taxonomy places the organism in Eukaryota, Metazoa, Chordata, Actinopteri, Cypriniformes, Cyprinidae. The transcript is spliced from 2 exons. The record is from RefSeq and is a predicted model, not a curated record.